Molecule: ribosomal RNA, 478 nt
Filed under: uncultured bacterium
Lineage: Bacteria
Description: partial 16S ribosomal RNA
Rfam family: Bacterial small subunit ribosomal RNA
Source: RNAcentral
GACGAACGCUGGCGGCGUGCUUAACACAUGCAAGUCGAACGGUAAGGCCCUUCGGGGUACACGAGUGGCGAACGGGUGAGUAACACGUGGGUGAUCUGCCCUGCACUUCGGGAUAAGCCUGGGAAACUGGGUCUAAUACCGGAUAGGACCACUGCCUGCAUGGGUGGUGGUGGAAAGCUUUUGCGGUGUGGGAUGGGCCCGCGGCCUAUCAGCUUGUUGGUGGGGUGAUGGCCUACCAAGGCGACGACGGGUAGCCGGCCUGAGAGGGUGACCGGCCACACUGGGACUGCGAUACGGCCCAGAAUCCUACGGGAGGCAGCAGUGGGGAAUAUUGCACAAUGGGCGCAAGCCUGAUGCAGCGACGCCGCGUGAGGGAUGACGGCCUUCGGGUUGUAAACCUCUUUCAGCACCGACGAAGCGCAAGUGACGGUAGGUGCAGAAGAAGGACCGGCCAACUACGUGCCAGCAGCCGCAGUAA